Fukomys damarensis (Damara mole-rat) is the source of this 2000-nucleotide long non-coding RNA. RefSeq lists it as uncharacterized. Lineage: Eukaryota; Metazoa; Chordata; Mammalia; Rodentia; Bathyergidae. The record is from RefSeq and is a predicted model, not a curated record. The transcript has 2 exons.
AAGCUAGCAUGUCCUCAUGUCUGCUGACCACUUUAUGAGCCACUGCCUGAGCCACUGAGCCAAUGCCACCUGAAGACAGACAGCAGCUCGCCCGCUCUGAGUGCACACCUUCCUGCUCACAGCACUCUGUCAAUCCUACAGAGACAGUGGGUGUAGUCAUAUCUGCCCUAGAGGGACCAGGAUCUUAGCCACAGCCUGUGACUUCUACCCUAGACCCCUCCAAGGGUCUCCAAGCCCCACUUGCCUCUGUCUUCAAGUGUCCACUGUCCUGACCCAAUAGCACUGUCAUCCUUUCCCUGGAGGACCCAGACAGCAAGGGUUCUGUCCUUAUCAACCCAUGGGCACCCUGUCCUAAAAUCCCAGUUUCUCUUCUUUCUGAAAAUCUCUGAUUGUAGAUUGCCAAUGAUUGGAGUCACGGUUUGACAGAUACCUUCGGGACUGCUUUGUCAUUCCUCUUUUGGAAUCUAUGGCUGAGGUGGCAUCAAGAGUCUUCUGAUCUGAGGAAAGCAGUGUGGCGGUAUCUCUCCAACUGUAUGCUCCGGAAGAGUAUGCAGGAGGCUGUCUGAACCUCGAGUGUACCUCCCCAUUCUGAAAUGGUGAAAAGAGAAUCUAUGCGGUGCAGCAGGGUUUGUUGCAGCCCAGGCCCAGGCUGCAUUAAAAGGAAACAAGUCCACAGCAGAGUUAAGAGACAAUUCAGAAAAGAGUUCAAAGAAGAGAUACGUGCUGCUUAUAAAUCAUGUCCAGAAAAAAUAAUAAUGCUGCCAAGAUAACAGCUCAGCAACACAGACCGAAGAGCUUAGGGUUUGAAGAGACCUAGCUGCUUCCGUGCAGGAAGGCCUGGCUGAUGGUGAGAUGGAAAAUGAAGCAGAGAGCUGCAAUCUACAGAGACCAUGACGAUAAAGAGCUGGUAAUGGAUCUGGGAUGGGGGCUUCCGGCCCAAGUAUGGUGCCUGCGCCGGAGCUAGAAGCAGAAUCUAAAUCCAAGUGAGAGCUUGGAGGCCAAGGCCACUACAAGGGAAGCAGCCCACAGGGCAAGAGACUACACUCAGACAGACUGGCUUUUGACAGCAGCACAGAUAGUCUAGAGAGACUCCAAGGACUCCCAGAAACACAGAAUUGGUGCAAAUCAUGCAAGAGGCAAACGUGGACAGUCCCUGUCUGAUGGAGGCUGCUGGCCAGGGGGAUUUGGGAAGAGCUCAAGGGAGGCUGCUGGGGCAGCUGGAAAUGGCCCAACACUGGGAGCCAAGAGGCAAGUCUAGCACCGCAAGUGAGUCCAUGGCCAGACAGGGAGGCAGCUACAGCGCAGUUGCAAAAGAUGCUAAAGGGGCACAGGAAAGGCACCAGGAAUUUGUGCCAUAAAGAAGCAGGAUCCCCAAACAGAAAACAGGCAAAUGAUGUACUGUUAAAGACAAUUGUACCCUGCUCAGCAGUUCCAGAGGGAAAGAAUAGACUCCCCAGGGGAAACAAAGGUCUAGACCAUGCCAUAAGUUUGCGAGACGACAUGGCCUCUGCAGAUGAUGCUGUGUGGGUGUUUAAUUUUGACUAGGGGCACGGCUGAGGUGCCCAGUUAAGGGAAACGCUGGAGGAUGGGGGGGCCUUAGAAUGGGAGACUCCACAUCAAAAUUCUCUUACUCCUUUGGUACAUAUUCUUAGGUGUCGCGACGUCAGGAUCCUGCCAGCAGGUCCUAAACCUGAAAGGACGAGGACAGAGAGACGGGAGGCAGUUUUCUUCUCAUGGUCCUUGCUUUAUUACCGAACCUCUCCUUUUAUACUCUCCAGCUGCCGCCCACACAUUCCGGAAGGAAACCGUUACAUUAGCUAGGCAACAGAUCAGACCACCAGUAGAACUAGCCCGUUGCUAUGGGCGACGGCACGUCCACACUGCUCGGGUGAAUCACAGGUCAAUAUGGCUGUGCUCACGCUGUGUUCCUUUACAAUGCUGUCCAUACUUAGGUGCUGGAAAAAGUUUGACCUUUACAUGUUAAUUAAAAAAAAAAAAAA